AGAGUUUGAUCCUGGCUCAGGACGAACGCUGGCGGCGUGCUUAACACAUGCAAGUCGAACGAGAGUAGCAAUACUCUAGUGGCAAACGGGUGAGUAACGCAUGCUCAAUCUACCCAUAAGAGGGAGAUAACUGUUCGAAAGAAUAGCUAAUAUCCCAUAUCAUAUAGAUUCAUAAGAAUUUAUAUCUAAAGUUGCGUUUGCAACGCUUUUGGAUGAGGGUGUGUCUUAUCAGAUAGUUGGUGAGGUAACGGCCCACCAAGUCAAUGACGAGUAGCUGUGCUGAGAGGCAGAACAGCCACAAUGGGACUGAGACACGGUCCAUACUCCUACGGGAGGCAGCAGUGGGGAAGUUUUCACAAUGGGCGAAAGCCUGAUGGAGCAAUCCUGCGUGAAUGAUGAAGGUCUUAUAGAUCGUAAAGUUCUUUUAUUAGGGACGAAUGCCAAGAUUAGGAAAUGAAUUUUGGUUGACUGUACCUUUUGAAUAAGUAACGGCUAACUAUGUGCCAGCAGCCGCGGUAAUACAUAGGUUACAAGCGUUAUCCGGAUUUACUGGGCGUAAAGCGAGCGCAGAUGGAUUUACAAGUCUGGUGUUAAAGACUAACGCUUAACGUUAGCAUGCAUUGGAAACUGUAAAUCUAGAGUUUGGUAGGAAGUUUUAGAACUCCAUGUGGAGCGGUGGAAUGCGCAGAUAUAUGGAAGAAUACCGGUGGUGAAAACGAAAACUUAGGCCACAACUGACAUUUAGGCUCGAAAGUGUGGGGAGCAAAUAGGAUUAGAUACCCUAGUAGUCCACACCGUAAACGAUGGUUGU
This 811-nucleotide ribosomal RNA is filed under the name uncultured bacterium. Its description in RNAcentral is "bacterial SSU rRNA". It matches the Rfam family "Bacterial small subunit ribosomal RNA", at positions 8 to 816 of the family's 1533-position model. The record is from RNAcentral.